Molecule: ribosomal RNA, 497 nt
Filed under: uncultured bacterium
Lineage: Bacteria
Description: partial 16S ribosomal RNA
Rfam family: Bacterial small subunit ribosomal RNA
Source: RNAcentral
GAUGAACGCUGGCGGCGUGCCUAAUACAUGCAAGUCGAGCGAACAGACGAGGAGCUUGCUCCUCUGACGUUAGCGGCGGACGGGUGAGUAACACGUGGAUAACCUACCUAUAAGACUGGGAUAACUUCGGGAAACCGGAGCUAAUACCGGAUAAUAUAUUGAACCGCAUGGUUCAAUAGUGAAAGACGGUUUUGCUGUCACUUAUAGAUGGAUCCGCGCCGCAUUAGCUAGUUGGUAAGGUAACGGCUUACCAAGGCAACGAUGCGUAGCCGACCUGAGAGGGAGAUCAACAACACGGGGACGUAGAAACGGUACCGACUCGGACGGGAGGCAGAAGGGGGGAAGAGUGGAGAAUGGGCGAAAGCCUGAGCCAGCCAUACCGCGUUGGUGAAGAAGGCCUUCGGGUUGUAAAGCCCGUUUGGGGGGAAAGAAAAGCAGCGGGAUAACACCCCGCUGCUCUGACGGUACCCAAAGAAUAAGAACCGGCUAACUUCGUG